AGGGUUAGUCGGUUCCUAAGGCGAGGCUGAAAAGCGUAGUCGAUGGGAAACAGGUUAAUAUUCCUGUACUUCUGGUUACUGCGAUGGAGGGACGGAGAAGGCUAGGCCAGCUUGGCGUUGGUUGUCCAAGUUUAAGGUGGUAGGCUGAAAUCUUAGGUAAAUCCGGGGUUUCAAGGCCGAGAGCUGAUGACGAGUCGUCUUUUAGAUGACGAAGUGGUUGAUGCCAUGCUUCCAAGAAAAGCUUCUAAGCUUCAGGUAACCAGGAACCGUACCCCAAACCGACACAGGUGGUCGGGUAGAGAAUACCAAGGCGCUUGAGAGAACUCGGGUGAAGGAACUAGGCAAAAUGGCACCGUAACUUCGGGAGAAGGUGCGCCGGCUAGGGUGAAGGAUUUACUCCGUAAGCUCUGGCUGGUCGAAGAUACCAGGCCGCUGCGACUGUUUAUUAAAAACACAGCACUCUGCAAACACGAAAGUGGACGUAUAGGGUGUGACGCCUCCCCGGUGCCGGAAGGUUAAUUGAUGGGGUUAGCGCAAGCGAAGCUCUUGAUCGAAGCCCCGGUAAACGGCGGCCGUAACAAUAACGGUCCUAAGGUAGCGAAAUUCCUUGUCGGGUAAGUUCCGACCUGCACGAAUGGCGUAAGGAUGGCGGCGCUGUCUCCACCCGAGACUCAGUGAAAUUGAAAUCGCUGUGAAGAUGCAGUGUAUCCGCGGCUAGACGGAAAGACCCCGUGAACCUUUACUGUAGCUUUGCACUGGACUUUGAGCCUGCUUGUGUAGGAUAGGUGGGAGGCUUUGAAGCGUGGACGCCAGUUCGCGUGGAGCCAUCCUUGAAAUACCACCCUGGCAUGCUUGAGGUUCUAACUCUGGUCCGUAAUCCGGAUCGAGGACAGUGUAUGGUGGGCAGUUUGACUGGGGCGGUCUCCUCCUAAAGAGUAACGGAGGAGUACGAAGGUGCGCUCAGACCGGUCGGAAAUCGGUCGCAGAGUAUAAAGGCAAAAGCGCGCUUGACUGCGAGACAGACACGUCGAGCAGGUACGAAAGUAGGUCUUAGUGAUCCGGUGGUUCUGUAUGGAAGGGCCAUCGCUCAACGGAUAAAAGGUACUCCGGGGAUAACAGGCUGAUACCGCCCAAGAGUUCAUAUCGACGGCGGUGUUUGGCACCUCGAUGUCGGCUCAUCACAUCCUGGGGCUGAAGCCGGUCCCAAGGGUAUGGCUGUUCGCCAUUUAAAGUGGUACGCGAGCUGGGUUUAGAACGUCGUGAGACAGUUCGGUCCCUAUCUGCCGUGGACGUUUGAGAUUUGAGAGGGGCUGCUCCUAGUACGAGAGGACCGGAGUGGACGAACCUCUGGUGUUCCGGUUGUCACGCCAGUGGCAUUGCCGGGUAGCUAUGUUCGGAAAAGAUAACCGCUGAAAGCAUCUAAGCGGGAAACUUGCCUCAAGAUGAGAUCUCACUGGGAACUUGAUUCCCCUGAAGGGCCGUCGAAGACUACGACGUUGAUAGGCUGGGUGUGUAAGCGUUGUGAGGCGUUGAGCUAACCAGUACUAAUUGCCCGUGAGGCUUGACUU
This 1568-nucleotide ribosomal RNA is filed under the name metagenome. Its description in RNAcentral is "bacterial LSU rRNA". It matches the Rfam family "Bacterial large subunit ribosomal RNA", at positions 1376 to 2925 of the family's 2925-position model. The record is from RNAcentral.